UCUCUUCCAAAAAGUUGGCUUUCACUCCAAGGUUUUCUGAGUUGGAUUAGCUUUACGUUGUACUCUUUUAGAUGGUCUUAUCUCCUUGGAACUUCAACAUCGUGGCUUGGGACGCUAGGGUGACCUAGUCACCUUGUAUAUGCAUCAUUAGCUGUAAACUCAAGCUUGUUAGAACAACUUUUCAAUCAAUUGAUUGGCAUGCUUAGUAAACUUUCCAAUAAUUGGUUAAGUUAGACUGCCUACUUGCUUUGUGAACCUAGAUAUGUUAGGAGUUUAGGUCAACGAUAAAAGUUUAUUGAUUGGCUCUCUAGAGCUACUUUAAUUUGUUCAUAAUAGCAUAAACUCUCCAACUUAAUGUGAUCGGACAUGCAUGUUAUCAAUAUACCAUAAAGCAAGCCAAAUUACAAGGCCUAAAAGACCAUUUGUAGUAUAGGUAGUCUGCUUCACUGGUAGAUUUAUUCUUAAAUCAAUUUGAGUGGUCUUCUUGGUUUGGUUGUUAAUCUAAUGCUUGCAUGAUAUCGAAUCAAACUUGCUCACUACUAACACACUAGAGUGAUAGAUCCACUUAGAAAACCUCGACCACAAAAUGUCCAUCCCGUCCCUAAUUUCCCUUUAGAUAUAACCAAUUCAUAGCAAAAAUGUUUUUCAGCCCCCUCAAUAUAUUAUAUCCCCUUUCUUUCAAGCCUUUAUGUGAUCAUAGUGUACAUUAGCAGCAUGUAACUUGGUCGAGUCUAGGAGAAUCAAAAAGCUACUAAGUAGUAGAAAAUGCUGGAUCAACUACUCUCGCUUAGUUGUAAUUUUUGUACAACUUUAUUUUAAUUCGAAAAAAAAAGAAAAAGAUAGAAAAUAUUAGAGAUGUCAAACGGGCGUGUUGGGAGGGUCACAGGUCGGGUUAGUCGGGUAAAGAGUUAAACGGCUUGCGGGCUCAUUGGGUCAUGGGUUAUCCGGGUUGGCUCGUCGGGUUAUGCGUUCAUCAGGUCAUGGGCUCGUUGGGUCGCGGGUUUGUGGGCUUACAUGUUCAUCUAGUCACGGGUUCGUUGGUCACGAGUUGGGUGGGUUGCGGGUUGGGGCGAGUUUCUUAUCAUGUCAAAACAAUUUCACGAAAUAUAAUAUUCCUUUUUAUUUCAUCUAGAAGAAACUACAUUUUAGCGUUUAUGAUUUAUGGUUGAAAGAACAUUUUAUUCUCUCCAAUCUUUUACAAAAUUUUAAAAUUUAUACAAAUUUUUAAUUAUUAUGUAUUAAAUAAAUUACUUACGUGCUUACAAUUGGUAUGUAUAAUCUUUAAUAUUGUUAAACGAGAAGAUCACUUUAAUAGACGUAAACCUUACUAAAGAAAAUUAAAAAAAAUGUAAGUUAUAGUACAUAAGUUAUAUUGAAUAAGGUCAAUCAAGUCAUUUGGGUUGGGUUAGUCGUGUCGUGGGUUAGUCUGGUUAAGGGUUGUCCUUUCUUACGGGUUGUCCUUUCUUACGGGUUGAUCGGAUAACAGAUUCAUCGGGUUAUGGGUUAGUCAGAUCACGAGUUCAUAGGGCACGGGUUAGGCGGGCUAAUGUAUUAUCUAAUAUGAAUGAUGAUGUGUUUCAAGUUGUGGAACUUCCUAUGACACAUUUACUUCCUAAAUUGGUUUUAUUUUAAAGGUACACUUGCAUGUUGGAAAAUCUAGGGAACAUUGAGGAAUAUGAGUUACUUUGUCGUGGCAAGCAUUUUCAAUUAAUUGUAGGUAUCUUCUAUGGCCGUCAUCAACUUUUUGUUUAAAGACAAGCAAAGUUUAGGUGUAGGGUUAUAUGAUGACAUUCGAUUUACCGAGUUCAUCACCCCUCAUUUUAUGUAUUUUAAGCUAAUAUUGGAAUUUAGUGUCUUUUCGAUCAUUUCUUGAUUGAUUUUGAGUAUUUCUCGAUAUUGAGGCAUUAAUCAGAGCGAUACAAUGUCCAUGGAUGAGCUAGGACGACUCAAAGGUGCAAAAAAUCACAAGUGCUAAAAGUGCCCAAAUAUUCUCCUAAGGUGUCAACAAUUUUCAAGAUGUAAAAAGUCGACACAAGCAAGAACCUCUCAAGUCCAAGUGUCCAAAUCUGCUCCUAAGGUGUCGUUUAUCGUAAGGAAUAGGUUUCGACACUUAAGGCAUAGAUUUCGACUCCUUCAGCGAUUAGGUUUUCUUUUCUUAUUUAAACACCGGUUCCCCUCUUUCGAGACAGACAUCCUUUGGACGAAAUUGAGAUAGAAUUUCAGUGACUUUCAAGUCACAAGAAAACAACAAUUUCAAGGAGCUUGGUUCGCCAAUAAAAUAAUUAAGAUUUGUGACUCGUUAUUCAUGAGAGGAACUCGGCAAAAUUAAGUUUUUUAGUACUCCUUAUGCAAAACCGAUUUCAAUGUCUUUUUUAAUUUUAAUUUAUUCUUCAAGAUCAUGAGUACCUAAGGGUGGCACUUCUUCUUUGCUAUGAAGGGGUAAGCCUUGAUGAUGACCUCUCUAUAGAUUUACCACUAUAACCUCUAUAAGGAGGGUACCCUAUGGGUUUGCCCUUCAGAUUCGGAUGAACCAUGAUGGCAAUCAAGACAAUAAGUUGGAUGAUGAGUAGUUUAUAUUUGAUAUUUUCUAUAAUAUGAAAGGUAGUGUCUAAAUAAAAAUUUAAUUUUGUUUUAUCAUAAAGAUAUGAGUUAUUAUUUUUUAUUUCUCAUAUAAUAAAUAUUUAUAUCCAAAAAUCUUGCUAUGACAACAAAAUUUUUUAUUAUCACGUGACAACAUCACAAUCCAAAUUUAAUUUCUUUUUCUAAAUCUAAUGGUAGUNNNNNNNNNNNNNNNNNNNNNNNNNNNNNNNNNNNNNNNNNNNNNNNNNNNNNNNNNNNNNNNNNNNNNNNNNNNNNNNNNNNNNNNNNNNNNNNNNCAUAUUUUAUGAAUAUUUUUUUAUAUCCCGCAAUUGUGAUGAAUUUGUAACACUCCCCUAUCCCAUGUACAACCCAAACUUUGUACUUUAGUGAAAGGGAGGUACAAAUUGGAGAUACUUGUACCUAGUAUAUACGUUGAGUAUAAAGUCUUCAUGAAUUAAUACCACCCCUCAAUCUCAUGUACGCAAU
RNAcentral lists this long non-coding RNA (3066 nucleotides) under Linum usitatissimum (flax). RNAcentral's name for it is "long non-coding RNA (LUSI_LNC004925)". The record is from RNAcentral. Lineage: Eukaryota; Viridiplantae; Streptophyta; Magnoliopsida; Malpighiales; Linaceae.